Molecule: long non-coding RNA, 1039 nt
Organism: Pieris napi
Lineage: Eukaryota; Metazoa; Arthropoda; Insecta; Lepidoptera; Pieridae
Exons: 2
Source: RefSeq, a predicted model, not a curated record
AUCUUUUUGUAAGUAAUUUUAGAACGCUUUAUAUAAAAAUAAGCGAAUUAGAAAGAUACGAUUAAUAUUAAAUCAUACAUAUUAUUAGAUAGUCAGGAAAAUAACUUUGUAUUAGAGGUGGCUUUAAUAGCCAAUUCAACUUAUAGUUAUAAUAGAAUGUAUCCCUUACCAUAUUUUUCAUGACCCUAAAAACCUAACCUUAAUAAUCAAUCCUAAAUAUCCCUAUAUCCUGGUGAAAGGUGUAACAUACUUACCGCUUAUACAGCCUUGCAAACAAGUCUCUGAGGAAAAUUAUCUCUGCACACAAGAAAACAGGGGCACCGUUUUCUGAAACGACAUGCAUUGAGGAGCUGAUGACCUUCAAGGAAAACCCAUCCAACUGUGACCAGAAUACAGUAAUUAUAGAAGAGAAAAUAUGUCAUCAGAACGUAUCCCAUCCAUUAAGCUGCUGGAGUUACAGUCAACAGUGAACUCUAAGGAAAAUCAGAAUCCAGUAAACUUACAGGGAAUGGAGCUCAGUGACCUGCAACACAUGUCUUACAUGCUGUAACAACUUAACAGAGAUAGUGAUAGUGAAAUGGGCAAUUCAGUGAAAGUGAAAAGCAUUAGUUUAGGCACUCUUUUAUUGUAUUUUGAUAAUUGUUGUGUUUUUUAUAAAAAUAAGAUUAUUAAUAUGUUGCAGUGGCGAAAUAAUCAGAAUUUGCAUGUGCAAUCCCCUGAUAAUUUCGCUCUUAAGGAGGGAGGAGUUAUAUAAUCCCGUGUGUCAUCACCAUAGGAUAGUUAUAUUUUAUAUAAACAAAAACCAUUGCAACAUAGUAGUACAAAGAUCCUUUAUAUUUCAAUAGCCGAAGUGCUGUUACAUGAUUUACGAACCACUCUUACAUGAUUUACGAACCACUUUUAGUUCUUACUAAGUAACGUUUCCUUGUAGAGCGUGAGAACAAUGUGUCAGCACAACGGUCACGUAGGCCUUUAAGAAUAGGAUAUAAAUAUAAUAGAAUACUUGUAAUAUUUAGUAUUAAACGGACCUCAAAUCGGA